This 69-nucleotide transfer RNA is filed under the name Podarcis lilfordi (Lilford's wall lizard). RNAcentral's name for it is "tRNA.Lys". The record is from RNAcentral. Lineage: Eukaryota; Metazoa; Chordata; Lepidosauria; Squamata; Lacertidae.
GGAUAGCUUAGUUGGUAGAGCAUGAGCCUCUUAAUCCCAGGGACAUGGGUUUGAGCCCCACGUUGGGCA